AACGAACGCUGGCGGCAUGCCUAACACAUGCAAGUCGAACGAGACCUUCGGGUCUAGUGGCGCACGGGUGCGUAACGCGUGGGAACCUGCCUUUAGGUUCGGAUAACUCAGAGGAAAUUUGAGCCUAAUACCGGAUAAUGUCCUUCGGACCAAAGAUUUAUCGCCUUUAGAUGGGCCCGCGUUGGAUUAGCUAGUUGGUGGGGUAAAGGCCUACCAAGGCGACGAUCCAUAGCUGGUCUGAGAGGAUGAUCAGCCACACUGGGACUGA
Molecule: ribosomal RNA, 268 nt
Filed under: uncultured bacterium
Lineage: Bacteria
Description: partial 16S ribosomal RNA
Rfam family: Bacterial small subunit ribosomal RNA
Source: RNAcentral